RNAcentral lists this ribosomal RNA (520 nucleotides) under uncultured Entrophospora. RNAcentral's name for it is "SSU rRNA". It matches the Rfam family "Eukaryotic small subunit ribosomal RNA", at positions 569 to 1083 of the family's 1831-position model. Lineage: Eukaryota; Fungi; Glomeromycota; Glomeromycetes; Entrophosporales; Entrophosporaceae. The record is from RNAcentral.
AGCAGCCGCGGUAAUUCCAGCUCCAAUAGCGUAUAUUAAAGUUGUUGCAGUUAAAAAGCUCGUAGUUGAUUUUCGGGAUUGGCGCAUCGGUCGUGCCUUACGGGGUAUGAACUGGUGCAGUCAAUUUCUCACCUUCUGGAGAACCGCGAUGUCCUUAAUUGGGUGCCGCGGGGAACCAGGACCUUUACUUUGAAAAAAUUAGAGUGUUUAAAGCAGGCAUUUUUGCUUGAAUACAUUAGCAUGGAAUAAUAAAAUAGGACGGCAUGGUUCUAUUUUGUUGGUUUCUAGGACCACCGUAAUGAUUAAUAGGGAUAGUUGGGGGCAUUAGUAUUCAAUUGUCAGAGGUGAAAUUCUUGGAUUUAUUGAAGACUAACUACUGCGAAAGCAUUUGCCAAGGAUGUUUUCAUUAAUCAAGAACGAAAGUUAGGGGAUCGAAGACGAUCAGAUACCGUCGUAGUCUUAACCAUAAACUAUGCCGACUAGGAAUCAGACGAUGUUUAAUUUUUAAUGACUCGUUUGG